This 253-nucleotide ribosomal RNA is filed under the name uncultured bacterium. RNAcentral's name for it is "partial 16S ribosomal RNA". It matches the Rfam family "Bacterial small subunit ribosomal RNA", at positions 524 to 776 of the family's 1533-position model. The record is from RNAcentral.
UACGUAGGUGGCAAGCGUUGUUCGGAUUUACUGGGCGUAAAGGGCGCGUAGGCGGCGCAACAAGUCACUUGUGAAAUCUCCGGGCUUAACCCGGAGCGGCCAAGUGAUACUGUCGUGCUAGAGUGCGGAAGGGGCUACUGGAAUUCUCGGUGUAGCGGUGAAAUGCGUAGAUAUCGAGAGGAACACCUGCGGCGAAGGCGGGUAGCUGGGCCGACACUGACGCUGAUGCGCGAAAGCCAGGGGAGCGAACGGG